RNAcentral lists this ribosomal RNA (449 nucleotides) under uncultured prokaryote. RNAcentral describes it as "bacterial SSU rRNA". It matches the Rfam family "Bacterial small subunit ribosomal RNA", at positions 355 to 796 of the family's 1533-position model. The record is from RNAcentral.
UAGGGAAUCUUCGGCAAUGGGGGGAACCCUGACCGAGCAACGCCGCGUGAGUGAAGAAGGUUUUCGGAUCGUAAAGCUCUGUUGUAAGAGAAGAACGGGUGUGAGAGUGGAAAGUUCACACUGUGACGGUAUCUUACCAGAAAGGGACGGCUAACUACGUGCCAGCAGCCGCGGUAAUACGUAGGUCCCGAGCGUUGUCCGGAUUUAUUGGGCGUAAAGCGAGCGCAGGCGGUUAGAUAAGUCUGAAGUUAAAGGCUGUGGCUUAACCAUAGUAUGCUUUGGAAACUGUUUAACUUGAGUGCAGAAGGGGAGAGUGGAAUUCCAUGUGUAGCGGUGAAAUGCGUAGAUAUAUGGAGGAACACCGGUGGCGAAAGCGGCUCUCUGGUCUGUAACUGACGCUGAGGCUCGAAAGCGUGGGGAGCAAACAGGAUUAGAUACCCCCGUAGUCC